This is a non-coding RNA of Potamilus streckersoni, 75 nucleotides long. The record is from the annotation of a GenBank genome assembly. Lineage: Eukaryota; Metazoa; Mollusca; Bivalvia; Unionida; Unionidae.
UAUUGGCCUAGUGGUUAGAGCGUCCGCCUCGGAUGCGGGAGGUCGUGAGUUUAAUUCCCAGUCGCGUCAUAACAA